GCCCAGAUGCAUCUUGGAGUAGAGAAAAAAAAAAAGUUACUAGUUUUCUUCUUCGACACACCCAGAUGCAUCUUCGUCGAUCUAAUCAAGUUUGACGGCGAACGGGAGAACGGAAGCAGAUUUUUUGAUAGAGGCGUCACGGUGGUGGUGGCUGUGCUGCCGCUGCGAUUGCCGGAGAUUGAGUGGCUGCGGCGCAGCGAGAGAAGAAGGAGAGGGAGGGAGAGAGAGAGUUCAGC
RNAcentral lists this long non-coding RNA (236 nucleotides) under Salvia miltiorrhiza (redroot sage). RNAcentral's name for it is "long non-coding RNA (SMIL_LNC011170)". Lineage: Eukaryota; Viridiplantae; Streptophyta; Magnoliopsida; Lamiales; Lamiaceae. The record is from RNAcentral.